RNAcentral lists this long non-coding RNA (2760 nucleotides) under Sus scrofa (pig). Its description in RNAcentral is "lncRNA (ENSSSCG00050040196.1)". Lineage: Eukaryota; Metazoa; Chordata; Mammalia; Artiodactyla; Suidae. The record is from RNAcentral.
UUUUUUUUUUUUAACCAAUACACCUGCAGUAUAAGAAGUUCCCAGGAUAGAGGUUGAAUUGGAGCUGCAGCUGCAGGUCUACGCCACAGUCACAGCCACACAUUGGAUCCGAGCCACAUCCACGAUCUAUGCUGCAGCUUGCAGCAACACCGGAUCCUUAACCCACUGAGCGAGGCCAGGGAUCAAACCCCCAACCUUGUGGACACUAUAUAUCGAGUUCUUAACCUGCUGAUCCACAAUGGGAAAUAAUCCUUAUUUUACUCAUAAAGAGACUGAGGCUCCCAGAGAGAGUCGGUGGAGAGCUGGCCUUGGCCUCAGGGCCUGUGUUCACUGCAGUAAGUGAGGUUUCUGACCACAAAUACUUGCACACACACACACAAUCACUUUGGGUCCCCCAAAUCACCUGGCCUGACAGGAAUGAAGGAAGGGGCUGCAGGCUUUUGAUAUUAGUUCAUUUUCUGAGUCUGACCAGGGCAGUCUCUAUGCUAAGCACUUUAGCUGCAACGUUUUAUUUUUUGGUUUUUGGUUUUUGUUUUAGGACUGCACCAGCAAGUUCUCAGGCUAAGGGUAAAAUCAGAGCUGUAGCUGCUGGCUUACACCACAGACACAGCCAUACCAGAUCCGAGCCUCAUCUGUGACCUACUCCACAGCUCAUGGCAACACCGGAUCCUUAACCCACUGAGCGAGGCCAGGGAUCGAACCCACGUCUUCAUGGAUACUAGUCGGCUCAGUACUGCUGAGCCACAACAGGAAUUUCCUAUCUUAUUGAAACCCCGUGAUUGUGCUGACACUUAGGAGCUCAGAACUCUGCUUGUGUUAUGGGAAACUCAGAAAGUCUAGGCAGGAGCAAACUUAAUGCACUGGAACAACGAGAAAGUGGGAUUAUCACUGACCACAGAGUGUGAAGCAUGUGGGCAGGAUGGGGGCGAAAUUACGUGAUGGAGCAUUGUGUCCAGCUUUCCUGUAUAUGACAGAAAGAAUUUUGUCUGCAUCUGCUCCAAUUCUCCCCCUUGGUCUAUCUGUACCCUCUGAGGAGAGCCUGGUCUCAAAACUUGGGGUAUUGGAUCUGAGGAAUGGAGGAGAGAUCUGAGAUCUGGAGGAGAGAAUUUGGUGAGCUGGGUAGCAAAGCACCAAGAUGGGGAGAGGGAAAGAGAGGAGAGAGAGAGAGACACACAGAGCAGGGACUGGGGUUGGGGAGCAGCAGACCUGGGGCAGCCCCACGAUGCGAGCAAAUGGGUGAGAAAAGAAGGGAGGGUUUGGAGACGCGUGUGCUGCAGCGUGUGAAUGGUCAAGGGAACCGUGAGGAGGGUGGCAGGGUGGCCAGCCCUCCACAGCCCCGAGUCUUUGCAGAAACUCAGUCACCUGAUGCCAACUAAUUUAGGGUGUAAGAAGGAGGUGAAGAAAUUGGGGACAAUGGAAUUCCCGUCGUAGCGCAGUGAAAACAAAUCCGACUAGUAUCCAUGAGGAUGCGGAUUCGAUCCCUGGCCUGGCUCAAUGGGUUAAGGAUUGGGCGUUGCCGUGAGCUGUGGUGUAUGUCGCAGACGCAGCUCAGAUCUGGUGUGGCCCUAAAAAGCAAAAUAAAUAAAUAAAUAAACAAAUAAAUAAAUAAAAUAUACAUAUAUGGGGAAGUUCCUGGUGUCCCAGUGCUUAGGAAUCCGAGCUUUAACUGCUGUGGCCCCAGGUUCAAUCCCUGGCCUGGGAACUGAGAUCCCACCCACAUCAAGCCACUGCAUGCUGCAGCCAAAAAUAUCAAUAAUAAAAUAAAUAAAAUAUACUCAUAUGUUACUACAGUUAAUUCUGUAGGAGAGAAUUGCAGAUGAUCUUUAUUUUCUACAUUUCAUUUAUAUAAUUAUUCUAAUUUUAAGUGUACUGUUUGUGUUAUUAAACCAGUUUAUUUCUCUAUAAUAGGUACCAUUCACCUGGCCCCACAGGAAUUAUUCCAGACAGACAAUAUGUACCAGAGAGACGUUUAAUUAAUCAAGAACAGAGUGACAGACUCCCUCAGGAACCCAGCUGAGAGAAAACAACAUUUAAUAACCUUAUAGGGAGAUCUGAGUUCAAUCGCUCAGCCUUAAAUGAACAGAACAAAUGUAUAUAUAACAGAUGCAGGACUCUCCAGAAAUAAUAAAGCCCUGGGAGAGAGAGCAACGCUUCCUCUCUGCGCUUUGUUUUUUAAAUAGAUUUUGCCCCUUUCCAACCUGGGAACAAAUGUUCCAGGCACCUCAUAAACUAUACGGAAGAAUUAUUGGGGGGAUUUUUUAGUGCAAAGUUGACAAACAUUUGGAAACCAUCAAUGACCACAGCAUUCUCAGAUGAUCUGAGUACCCACUUAAUCACAGCAAGGUUUGAAAACAGUUUUGAAGUCUGAAUUACACAUGCAAUUCCCCCAAAUCUGCACAAAAACAAAGACAAGUCCAUGCACUUAAAAUUGUUAGUUUUUAUUACUGUUUGCUUUUUGGUCACACUCUAAAUGUGUUUUCCGGAGAAUCUACUCAAGCCUAAUGCACCUGCUGAAAACACACACACACAGUAAGUUUAACCUCUGCACUUACAUACCACCUUCCAUCCAUGGAUCUUGAGUGGGCUGUCAGAAAUGUUUUCAUAAGUCCCCAGUGAGAUGGGUAAAUAUUGUUACCUCCAUCUUAUAUGCAGAUAAACUUAAACAUGGGGCCAGCUAAGUGGCUUGUCAACGGUUAUAACCCAAGACGAAAUCCAUGCAAGCCAACUUCUAGUCUCCCUUCCUCUGCUGACUGUGCCUUU